GGAGAGGUGGCUGAGUGGUCGAAAGCGGCCGACUCGAAAUCGGUUAUACCUUUUUGGUAUCGGGGGUUCGAAUCCUCUCCUCUCCGCCA
Molecule: transfer RNA, 89 nt
Filed under: Candidatus Goldiibacteriota bacterium
Lineage: Bacteria; Candidatus Goldiibacteriota
Description: tRNA-Ser
Rfam family: tRNA
About the family: Transfer RNA (tRNA) molecules are approximately 80 nucleotides in length. Their secondary structure includes four short double-helical elements and three loops (D, anti-codon, and T loops).
Source: RNAcentral